RNAcentral lists this ribosomal RNA (358 nucleotides) under uncultured soil bacterium. RNAcentral describes it as "bacterial SSU rRNA". It matches the Rfam family "Bacterial small subunit ribosomal RNA", at positions 26 to 382 of the family's 1533-position model. The record is from RNAcentral.
AGAUUGAACGCUGGCGGCAGGCCUAACGCAUGCAAGUCGAGCGGUAGAGAGGUGCUUGCACCUCUUGAGAGCGGCGGACGGGUGAGUAAUGCCUAGGAAUCUGCCUAGUGGUGGGGGAUAACGUUCGGAAACGGACGCUAAUACCGCAUACGUCCUACGGGAGAAAGCGGGGGACCUUCGGGCCUCGCGCCAUUAGAUGAGCCUGGGUCGGAUUAGCUAGUUGGUGAGGUAAUGGCUCACCAAGGCGACGAUCCGUAACUGGUCUGAGAGGAUGAUCAGUCACACUGGAACUGAGACACGGUCCAGACUCCUACGGGAGCAGCAGUGGGGAAUAUUGGACAAGUGGGGACGAAAAGCC